ACAUUAUGGCUAAUAUCUACUUAAUGGAAUCUUUAAGCACUAACGGGAGAGAUUUGAUGGUGACAUUCAAUUUUGGAGCAAGUAUCUGAAGAUGUCUUCCUCUCUGCACAUUUUUCAGGGUCCCUGCUUGAGAACAGUGCUUCCCACAGUGAAUGUGUUUUCUCACUUGAAUUAACAGACUCAAGAGGAUUCUACACACACGUACCUAAAGGCAAACCUAAUCUAGACCUUUUUUCAUUAACACUCACAUCCCAGGUGAUUCUCAAUUGUAUCAUUCAACAACAACAACAACAACACCUGACCAUGAAACCAUGUAAUAUACACGCCAGACACUGAAAAGAAUUUGUGAGGUAUUCUUCCUGCUUUGAAUUGUUUGCUCAAUUUUGAUUGGCUGACAUAUAUAUGCAAAUA
Long non-coding RNA from Mus musculus (house mouse), 411 nucleotides. RefSeq annotates it as predicted gene, 40394. NCBI's taxonomy places the organism in Eukaryota, Metazoa, Chordata, Mammalia, Rodentia, Muridae. The transcript has 3 exons. The record is from RefSeq and is a predicted model, not a curated record.